Molecule: long non-coding RNA, 322 nt
Filed under: Ananas comosus (pineapple)
Lineage: Eukaryota; Viridiplantae; Streptophyta; Magnoliopsida; Poales; Bromeliaceae
Description: long non-coding RNA (ACOM_LNC020122)
Source: RNAcentral
UAAAAAAUUCACUUAUUUUGGGCUUUUGCAAAAUCGGGUUACAUUUUUCGUUUUUGCAGAUUCGGUCCGCUUUUUCAGCAAACUGACCAAAAUACCCUUAUUACUUUUUCUCUUUCCUCUUUCUCUCUCCUCUUCAUUUCUGUCGUUCUUUUUUUUUUCUCGCCGUAAAAAAAAGAGGCGGACCGGACAGUCGCCUUCUUCUUCACCGCCGCCUCCCUCCUCACCCUCCUCCUUCACCGUCGCCUCCCUCCUCACCCUCCUCUCCACCGCUCGCGACCCCCUCCUCCUCUCCCCCGCCGCCGCCGCCGCCGCCGAGCCCACC